This 450-nucleotide ribosomal RNA is filed under the name uncultured bacterium. RNAcentral's name for it is "partial 16S ribosomal RNA". It matches the Rfam family "Bacterial small subunit ribosomal RNA", at positions 354 to 796 of the family's 1533-position model. The record is from RNAcentral.
GUGGGGAAUAUUGGACAAUGGGCGAAAGCCUGAUCCAGCCAUGCCGCGUGUGUGAAGAAGGUCUUCGGAUUGUAAAGCACUUUAAGUUGGGAGGAAGGGUAGUAACCUAAUACGUUGCUACUUUGACGUUACCGACAGAAUAAGCACCGGCUAACUUCGUGCCAGCAGCCGCGGUAAUACGAAGGGUGCAAGCGUUAAUCGGAAUUACUGGGCGUAAAGCGCGCGUAGGUGGUUCAGUAAGUUGGAAGUGAAAUCCCCGGGCUCAACCUGGGAACUGCUUUCAAAACUGCUGAGCUAGAGUACGGUAGAGGGUGGUGGAAUUUCCUGUGUAGCGGUGAAAUACGUAGAUAUAGGAAGGAACACCAGUGGCGAAGGCGACCACCUGGACUGAUACUGACACUGAGGUGCGAAAGCGUGGGGAGCAAACAGGAUUAGAUACCCGGGUAGUCC